RNAcentral lists this ribosomal RNA (301 nucleotides) under uncultured bacterium. Its description in RNAcentral is "partial 16S ribosomal RNA". It matches the Rfam family "Bacterial small subunit ribosomal RNA", at positions 509 to 807 of the family's 1533-position model. The record is from RNAcentral.
CAGUAGCCGCGGGAAUACGAAGGGGGCUAGCGUUGCUCGGAAUCACUGGGCGUAAAGGGUGCGUAGGCGGGUCUUUAAGUCAGGGGUGAAAUCCUGGAGCUCAACUCCAGAACUGCCUUUGAUACUGAAGAUCUUGAGUUCGGGAGAGGUGAGUGGAACUGCGAGUGUAGAGGUGAAAUUCGUAGAUAUUCGCAAGAACACCAGUGGCGAAGGCGGCUCACUGGCCCGAUACCGACGCUGAGGCACGAAAGCGUGGGGAGCAAACAGGAUUAGAUACCCCAGUAGUCCCUGUCUCUUAUAC